Amphimedon queenslandica is the source of this 511-nucleotide long non-coding RNA. RefSeq lists it as uncharacterized. The record is from RefSeq and is a predicted model, not a curated record. Lineage: Eukaryota; Metazoa; Porifera; Demospongiae; Haplosclerida; Niphatidae. The transcript has 3 exons.
UCAUUGUUAUUACCAGUGUUAGCAGCUGCUGAAUAGCCUCCUGGCUACUUAUCAAUAACAAGAAAAGACCUUGAGAAGAAAGAAGUACAAUGAUCCUCAAAAGUUUUGCAUUGAUAGAGUUGGUAAAGAGACCUGUCUGCCUAGGAGCCAUACACAAUAAUUCAAUAAUAAUUAAUAAACUUUUUUUCCUUCUGUUCCAUUUUAUGAUAUUGAUCUCACUAAGGAUCCAGUCACCUCAGGAUUAGACGACCUUUUUACUAAAUAUUCCUUCCACUCUGUCAUUAAUUUCGCUGGUAUGAAAGCAGUCGGUGAAUCAAUGAAGAUACCACUCGAAUAUUACUCGUGUAACCUCUCGAUUGUAUUUAAUCUACUAGUUGUUAUGAAGAAGUACGGGGUCAAGAACUUUGUAUUUUCAUCGACGGCCUGUGUCUAUGGAGAGUCCCAGUACCUCCCUAUUGAUGAGUCCCACCCAGUGGGGGACUGUGCUAAUCCUUACGGGAAAUCCAAAUAU